CAGCAGCCUCGGUAAUACAGAGGGUGCAAGCGUUAAUCGGAAUUACUGGGCGUAAAGCGCGCGUAGGUGGUUCGCCAAGUUGGAUGUGAAAUCCCCGGGCUCAACCUGGGAACUGCAUCCAAAACUGGCGAGCUAGAGUAUGGUAGAGGGUGGUGGAAUUUCCUGUGUAGCGGUGAAAUGCGUAGAUAUAGGAAGGAACAUCAGUGGCGAAGGCGACCACCUGGACUGAUACUGACACCGAGGUGCGAAAGCGUGGGGAGCAAACAGGAUUAGAUACCCGAGUAGUCCCUGUCUCUUAUAC
Molecule: ribosomal RNA, 301 nt
Filed under: uncultured bacterium
Lineage: Bacteria
Description: partial 16S ribosomal RNA
Rfam family: Bacterial small subunit ribosomal RNA
Source: RNAcentral